AGGAGGGACUCAGUGUUCAUAUGAUCUUAGCGUCUGACAGAGACUGCGGUUGAAAGGAUUCAGAGGAUUCUUCUCAGAGUGAACACUUGUACAAUGGAUCUUCAUUCAGUUAUUCUGUUCUGUGCCUCAGCUGCUGCUGUCUUUGGGAAUGUCAUUAAACCAAACAAAACAGAUGUUUUUGCUGAGGAGGAUUCAAGUGUUACAUUAUCCUGUAGUUUUUCUGUAUCUGGAGGUACAGAUUAUCUCCACUGGCAUCGUCAGUAUGGAAGAUCAAAACCUGAAUUUCUUGUUCUCACCUACAGCAAUGCCAGAGAUGCUGAGGUGUCUAAGAUAGAUCCAAGAUUCUCUGUUAACAUUCCAAAAAGAGAACACGUUGAUCUGGAGAUCUCCUCUGCAUCGAUAUCAGACUCUGCUCUGUACUACUGCGCUCUGGUGCCCACAGUGACAGGAAACACAUCAGCUCUCUACAAAAACCUGUUACAAUGA
Sinocyclocheilus grahami is the source of this 486-nucleotide non-coding RNA. Lineage: Eukaryota; Metazoa; Chordata; Actinopteri; Cypriniformes; Cyprinidae. The record is from the annotation of a RefSeq genome assembly.